AAAAUCAAAGUUGCAAGAAAAUUCUCCUACUCUGAGCUGGUAGCGGCGACGGACAACUUCUCACGGGAUAGGAAGAUCGGCAAGGGUUCCUUCGGUGACGUGUACAGAGGGCUGCUACCGAUGCAGAACCAGCGGGAGGUGGCUGUGAAGGAGAUGCGACAACCAACGUUGAAGCGUAACCGGAAGAACUAUGUGCACGAGAUCAAGACCCUGUGUCAGUUGAGCCAUAAGAACCUCCUACGGCUUAUCGGUUGGUGCGACGAUGGUGGCCGGUUGGUGCUUGUGUACGAGCUUGAACCCAACGGUAGUGUCAGCGACCAUCUCCAUGGUGGUGGCGCUGGCGGGAGGAUGUUGACAUGGCCGCAGAGGUACAAUAUCCUUCUCGGUAUCGCAGCCGCCAUCGACUACCUCCACAAUGGCGCCUACGACUCAGCGAAGAGGUACGUGUUGCACCGGGACAUAAAGCCCAGCAACGUGAUGCUGGGAGAGGGCUUUGAGGCCAAGCUCGGUGACUUUGGACUCGUACAGCAAGUCAGUCGCCAUGGCGGCGGGGGUACUCCUCGGACAACCGUGAUCGGGAGCAUGGACUACAUGGACCCCAGGUACAUCGGGCUUGGUACACUUAGCCCCGCCUCUGAUAUAUACAGCUUCGGGUUGGUGCUGCUAGAGGUGGCCACUGGCGUGAGACCGUCCAUCCCGGGAACGGCAGCGCACCGGAACACCCUCAUCACCACUGUGAGGGAGUCUCAUAGCAGAAAAGCCAUCCUCGAGAUGGUAGAUGAGAAGCUGAGAGGGGAGUUGAAUCAGUGGUGGUGGCAGAUGGAGCGUGUCAUGGUCACCGGGUUGGCGUGUGUCGAGCCGGCGCGUGACGAUCGGCCAUCUAUCAAAGAUGUUAUCGACCUGCUCUCCAAGCACGAGCAAUCUCUGGCAUCCAGCCGUUACCUAAGAGAUUCCUCAAUGAGGCCCAAGGAUCGGUUUCCUUUCAUACUAACUAGGAAUGUGGCUCUCGCAAAUGCAAGGGCAUCAUCCUUAUCGUAUUGA
This 1041-nucleotide ribosomal RNA is filed under the name Triticum aestivum (bread wheat). RNAcentral's name for it is "partial small subunit ribosomal RNA". The record is from RNAcentral. Lineage: Eukaryota; Viridiplantae; Streptophyta; Magnoliopsida; Poales; Poaceae.